RNAcentral lists this ribosomal RNA (2835 nucleotides) under Caproicibacterium amylolyticum. RNAcentral describes it as "Oscillospiraceae bacterium LBM18003 23S ribosomal RNA". It matches the Rfam family "Bacterial large subunit ribosomal RNA". Lineage: Bacteria; Bacillati; Bacillota; Clostridia; Eubacteriales; Oscillospiraceae. The record is from RNAcentral.
AUGGUCAAGCUACAAAGAGCGCAAGGGGAAUGCCUUGGCACUGGGAGCCGAAGAAGGACGCAACUAACUGCGAUAAGCUAUGGGGAGCCGUAAGUGGGCAUUGAUCCAUAGAUUUCCGAAUGGAGCAAUCCGGCUGGAGUCAUGUCCAGUCAUCGUAAACUGAAUUCAUAGGUUUACGAGGGGAACCGCCUGAACUGAAACAUCUAAGUAGGGCGAGGAAGAGACAUCAAAUGAGAUUCUGCUAGUAGUGGCGAGCGAACGCGGAAGAGGCCAAACCGAGGGUAGCAAUACCUUCGGGGUUCGGACAGCAUUUAGCAUGCUAAGCUUUAGUUGAACGGUAUGGAAAGGCCGGUCAAAGAGUGUGAGAGCCACGUAAACGAAAAGGCGAAGCAGCGAGCUGUAUCCAGAGUACCGCCGGACACGUGAAACCCGGUGGGAAGACGGGGGGACCACCCUCCAAGCCUAAAUACUACCCAGUGACCGAUAGAGAACAGUACUGUGAAGGAAAGGUGAAAAGCACCCCGGGAGGGGAGUGAAAUAGAACCUGAAACCUUGUGCUUACAAGCACCGAGAGCCCGUCAAUGGGUGAUCGGGUACCUUUUGUAGAAUGGUCCGGCGAGUGAAUGUAACUGGCGAGGUUAAGGACUUAAGGUCCGGAGCCGCAGCGAGAGCGAGUCUUAAUAGGGCGCAUAAAGUCAGUUGUAUUCGACCCGAAACCGGGUGACCUACCCAUGUCCAGGUUGAAGUGAGGGUAAAACCUCAUGGAGGACCGAACCGACUCCCGUUGAAAUGGUAGCGGAUGAGGUGUGGGUAGCGGAGAAAUUCCAAUCGAACCCGGAGAUAGCUGGUUCUCUCCGAAAUAGCUUUAGGGCUAGCCUCGUAUUAGAUUACCGGAGGUAAAGCACUGAAUGGUUAAGGGGCCGAGAGGCUACCAAGACCUAUCAAACUCAGAAUGCCGGAUAAUUGAUGUACGGGAGUCAGACAGCGUGAGAUAAGUUUCGUUGUCAAAAGGGAAACAGCCCAGACCCACAGCUAAGGUCCCCAAACACGGUUAAGUGGAAAAGGAUGUGGGGUUGCACAGACAACCAGGAUGUUGGCUCAGAAGCAGCCAUACAUUAAAAGAGUGCGUAAUAGCUCACUGGUCGAGUGACCCUGCGCCGAAAAUUUAACGGGGCUAAAUCGUGUACCGAAGCUUGGGAUCCGAAAGGAUGGUAGGAGAGCGUUCUGUAUGGGGUGAAAUCAAAGCGGAAGCGUUGGUGGACUAUACAGAAGUGAGAAUGCCGGAAUGAGUAGCGCGAAAUGUGUGAGAAUCAUAUUGACCGAAAGUCUAAGGUUUUUGGAGGAAGGUUCGUCCGCUCCAAGUAAGCCGGGAGCUAAGGCGAGGCCGAAAGGCGUAGUCGAUGCACAUACGGUGGAAAUUCCGUAGCCGCCAAAAGAUUUAAGUUAAGAGACACCUGCAAAGCGAAUAACCCGGGCGAUGGUUGCCCCGGGCGUAAGGGACCAAAAUUAGAGUAGGGAAGUAUUUGUAGAGCAGGGCAAGAAAAGCUUAAUGUAUAUCUGAGGCGCCCGUACCGCAAACCGACACAGGUAGACAGGAAGAGAAUUCUAAGGUCAACGGGAGAAGGGUAGUUAAGGAACUCGGCAAAUUGGCCCCGUAACUUCGGAAUAAGGGGCGCCUCCUGCAAGGGAGGCCACAGUGAAAAGGCUCAGGCGACUGUUUAUCAAAAACACAGGUUUCUGCCAAAUCGAAAGAUGACGUAUAGGAGCUGACACCUGCCCGGUGCUGGAAGGUUAAGAGGAGAUGUGCAAGCAUUGAAUUGAAGCCCCAGUAAACGGCGGCCGUAACUAUAACGGUCCUAAGGUAGCGAAAUUCCUUGUCGGGUAAGUUCCGACCCGCACGAAUGGUGUAACGAUCUGAGCACUGUCUCAAUUACCCGCCCGGCGAAAUUGUAGUACCGGUGAAGAUGCCGGUUACCCGCGACAAGACGGAAAGACCCCAUGGAGCUUUACUGCAGUUUAAUAUUGGGUUUCGGUAAUUUAUGUACAGGAUAGGUGGGAGACAUGGAAACCGGUGCGCCAGCGCUGGCGGAGUCGACCUUGGGAUACCACCCUUAAGUUGCUGAAAUUCUAACCUGCGGCCGUGAAACCGGCCGGGGGACAUUGUUAGACGGGCAGUUUGACUGGGGCGGUCGCCUCCUAAAAGGUAACGGAGGCGCUCAAAGGUUAGCUCAGCACGGAUGGAAACCGUGCUACUGAGUGUAAACGCAUAAGCUAGCCUAACUGCGAGGAUGACAGUCCGAGCAGUAACGAAAGUUGGAGUUAGUGAUCCGGCGGUAUGAGAGUGGAAUUGCCGUCGCUCAACGGAUAAAAGCUACCCUGGGGAUAACAGGCUGAUCUCCCCCAAGAGUCCACAUCGACGGGGAGGUUUGGCACCUCGAUGUCGGCUCAUCACAUCCUGGGGCUGUAUUCGGUCCCAAGGGUUCGGCUGUUCGCCGAUUAAAGUGGUACGCGAGCUGGGUUCAGAACGUCGUGAGACAGUUCGGUCCCUAUCUGUCGUGGGCGCAGGAUAUUUGAGGAGAGCUGUCCUUAGUACGAGAGGACCGGGAUGGACGCACCGCUGGCGCACCAGUUGUCAUGCCAAUGGCACAGCUGGGCAACUAUGUGCGGAUCGGAUAAACGCUGAAAGCAUCUAAGCGUGAAGCCGACUCCAAGAUAAGAUAUCCCAUUGCGUAAGCAAGUAAGACCCCUUGAAGACUACAAGGUUGAUAGGCUGCAUGUGUAAGCACAGUAAUGUGUUCAGCUUGGCAGUACUAAUAGGUCGAGGGCUUGACCAUA